This 466-nucleotide ribosomal RNA is filed under the name uncultured bacterium. Its description in RNAcentral is "partial 16S ribosomal RNA". It matches the Rfam family "Bacterial small subunit ribosomal RNA", at positions 28 to 507 of the family's 1533-position model. The record is from RNAcentral.
GACGAACGCUGGCGGCGCGCCUAACACAUGCAAGUCGAACGAGCGAGUGAGAUCUUUCUUUCUCACGCGCGUGUCGUACGCGUGAGUAACGCGUGAGGAACCUGCCUCAAAUCGGGGGACAUCAGUUUGAAACUACUGCUACUACCGCAUAAGCCCACCGGUCCUCCUCGCCUCCUUCUCACACGAGCCCUCCGCUUUGAGUUUGCCUUGAGUCCGAUUAGCUAGUUGGUGAGGUAACGGUCGACCAAGGUCACGAUCGGUAGCCGAACUGAGAGAUUGAACGGCCACAGUUAGACUAAGACACGGCCCAGAAUCCUACGCGAUGCAGCAGUGCAUAAUACUGCACAACGGCACAAACCCUGAUGCAGCAACGCCAGGUGAAAGAAUAAAAUCUUCGAAUUGUAAAAUCCUAUUCUCCAGGAACAUAAUGACGGUACUCAAAAAAGAAGGAACGGCUAACUACGUG